UUCCUUGUUUGUGUAUCAAUUGUAGAUUUUUGGUUUGCAGUUAUUCUGAAGUUUUGAUAUAAGAGUCUAUAUGUAUAUGAGAUUGUUUUAAGUUGUUGUUCUCUUAAUUGCAAGUUCAUCUCCAGUGUCCUGCAUUUGUACCCACCUCUUCUCAUGAUUUCUGAUUUUGGUGGUAUAAUUGUGCAUGGAUGAUUUCGUAUCUUUACUGUAUAUAUACCUUUACUGGUGAGCCUUGUCAUUUGUGGAAUUUUUGUUUCCUGUUGCUGUCUUUUCUUUUCUGCCUAGAGAAGUUCCUUUAGUAUUUGUUGUAAGGCUGGUUUAGUGUUGCUGAAUUCUCUCAGCUUUUGCUUAUCUGUGAAGGUUUUGAUUUCUCCUUCAAAUCUGAAUGAGAGCCUUGCUGGGUAGAGUAAUCUUGGUUGGAGGUUUUUUCCUUUCAUCACGUUAAGUAUAUCAUGCCACUCCCUUCUGGCCUGCAGAGUUUCUGCUGAAAAAUCUGCCGAUAACCUUAUUGGGGUUCCCUUGUAUGUUACUUGUUUCUUUUCCCUAGCUGCUUUCAAGAUUUUCUCUUUGUCUUUAAUUUUGGUCAGUUUGAUUAAUAUGUGUCUCGGUGUAUUCCUCCUUGGGUUUAUUUUAUAUGGUACUCGUUGUGCUUCCUGGAUUUGAGUGAGUGGUUCCUUUCCCAUGUUAGGGAAGUUUUCGGCUAUUAUCUCUUGGAAUAUUUUUUCUGUCCCCUUCUCUCUCUCUUCUCCUUCUGGCACCCCUAUAAUACGGAUGUUGGUGCGUUUAACAUUGUCCCAGAGUUCUCUGAGACUCUCUUCAUUUGUUUUCAAUCUUUUUUCUCUUUUCUGUUCUGCAUCCGUAAUUUCCACUAAUCUGUCCUCCACCUCGCUUAUUCGUUCUUCUGCCUCCUGUAUUCUGCUGUUAGCUGCUUCUAGUGAAUUUUUUAUUUCAGUUAUUGUAUUUUGCAUCUCUUCUUGUUUAAGUUUUAUAUCUUGUAUCUCUUUGGUCAGUGUUUCCUGUAAGUUAUCCAUCUUUGCCUCCAGUUUAUUUCCAAUGUCUUGCAUCAUCUUCAGCAUCAACAGUCUAAAGUCUUUUUCCUGGAGGCUGAUAAUCUCCAGAUCUCUUAGCUGUUUUUCUAGAGUUUUUUCUUUCUCCCUUAUCUGAGUUAUAGUUCUCUGCCUUUUCAUUUUUAUAGGCUUUUGGUGUGGUCUCUUUUUUGCAGAUAAUAAGGUUGUAACCUCUCUUACUUCUGAUGUCUGCCCCCCUUAUGGCUGAAUUUGGUACAGGGGCUUGCUGUAGGCUUCCUGAUUGGAGGGACUGAUGCUUGCCCACUGGUAGGUAGGGCUGAUUCUUAUCCCUCUGGUGAAUGGGGUUUGUCUCUGGGUGAUAUUAGAGGCAGCUGUGUGCCUGGAGUGGUCUUUAGGCAGCCUAUUUAUGGAUGGGUGGGGCUGUGAUCCCACCUGGAUUGUUGUUUAGCCUGGGGCUUCUCAGUGCUAAUGGGUGAGGCCAGAUUUUCCACAAAUGGCCACCUCUAGAGCAACACAUGCUGAUGAAUAUUCUGGAGAACUUUGUUUCCAACGUCCUUCCCCCACAAUGAGCCACAGUCACUACAUUUUCUCAGGAGAUACUCCAAGCACUACAGUCAGGUCCGACACAGAUUCUUUCCUUUUCCCUGGGAUUCUGCAUAUGAAAGACUGUGUGCACCUUUCAAGAAUGGGGUCUCCAUCUCCCCCAGUCCCAUGGAGCUCCUGUGCACAAGCCCCACUUGCCUUCAAUGCCAGAUGCUCCAGGGGCUCUUUAUCCCAGUGCCAGAUCCCCAGGUGUGGGGACCUAACAUGAGGCUCAGCACUCCCACUCCUGUAGGUGAGUCUCUGUGACAGUUACUUUCCAGUCUGUAAACUGCCCACCUGGGGUUGCUUAUAUUGUGUAAUUGCCCCUCCUAACAUCUUGAUGUGGCCUCUUCUUUGUCUUCUGGAGGAGGAUAUCUUUUUGAGAGAUUCCAGUCUAUUUGGUUG
RNAcentral lists this long non-coding RNA (2015 nucleotides) under Sus scrofa (pig). RNAcentral describes it as "lncRNA (ENSSSCG00040012644.1)". The record is from RNAcentral. Lineage: Eukaryota; Metazoa; Chordata; Mammalia; Artiodactyla; Suidae.